RNAcentral lists this ribosomal RNA (660 nucleotides) under uncultured bacterium. RNAcentral's name for it is "bacterial SSU rRNA". It matches the Rfam family "Bacterial small subunit ribosomal RNA", at positions 94 to 788 of the family's 1533-position model. The record is from RNAcentral.
AGUGGCGGACGGGUGAGUAACGCGUGAGAAUCUGCCUUGGGGUCGGGGACAACCACUGGAAACGGUGGCUAAUACCGGAUAAGCCGAUUGGUGAAAGAUUUAUUGCCCGAAGAGGAGCUCGCGUCUGAUUAGCUAGUUGGUGAGGUAAGAGCUCACCAAGGCAGCGAUCAGUAGCUGGUCUGAGAGGACGAUCAGCCACACUGGGACUGAGACACGGCCCAGACUCCUACGGGAGGCAGCAGUGGGGAAUUUUCCGCAAUGGGCGAAAGCCUGACGGAGCAAGACCGCGUGAGGGAGGAAGGCUCUUGGGUUGUAAACCUCUUUUCUCAGGGAAGAAGCUCUGGCGGUACCUGAGGAAUCAGCCUCGGCUAACUCCGUGCCAGCAGCCACGGUAAUACGGAGGAGGCAAGCGUUAUCCGGAAUUAUUGGGCGUAAAGCGUCCGCAGGUGGCGAUUCAAGUCUGCUGUCAAAGCACGGGGCUUAACUCCGUAAAGGCAGUGGAAACUGAAUAGCUAGAGUGCCGUAGGGGUAGAGGGAAUUCCCGGUGUAGCGGUGAAAUGCGUAGAGAUCGGGAAGAACAUCGGUGGCGAAAGCGCUCUACUGGACGGCAACUGACACUCAGGGACGAAAGCUAGGGGAGCGAAUGGGAUUAGAUACCCC